GGCUGAAUAGCUCAGUGGUAAGAGCAGUCGCCCGGCAUCGAAAGACUCGGGUUCGAUUACCGAUUCAGCGA
This 71-nucleotide transfer RNA is filed under the name Camponotus floridanus (Florida carpenter ant). It matches the Rfam family "tRNA". Rfam says of the family: Transfer RNA (tRNA) molecules are approximately 80 nucleotides in length. Their secondary structure includes four short double-helical elements and three loops (D, anti-codon, and T loops). The record is from Rfam by way of RNAcentral. Lineage: Eukaryota; Metazoa; Arthropoda; Insecta; Hymenoptera; Formicidae.